This is a non-coding RNA of Sus scrofa (pig), 8133 nucleotides long. The record is from RefSeq and is a predicted model, not a curated record. Lineage: Eukaryota; Metazoa; Chordata; Mammalia; Artiodactyla; Suidae.
AAACCUACGUCUUCAUUCUUACUAGUCAGAUUUGUUUCCACUGAGCCUUGAUGGGAACCCCUCAUUUUUAAUUCUAUAUGGACUGUUUACAAAGGCUGGGUGGUUUAUAAGAUAUUUUGGAACUGUGGCGAAGGGGGAUUAAUAUUUGCCAUCAAUUGUGUGCUCUUAAAUGUUUAACAAUUUGCUCUCCGGGGAGAAGAAAAGGUCUGAUUUGCACUUCUACCAUAACUGAUUUCAAGCUACCAACAAGCUCAAGAACUUCCUGAAAUUUUAACAAUCGGUUCAUGAGCCAGUGGAAGUCAGCUUGGACACAACACAACUUGAUAUGUGACUGGUAUAUAGCCACUGUGUUAGUCUCUUUACAUACAUUACAGCCUUAUUUACUGCUUUCAACAAUCUUUAAGAAGAAAUAAGUGUUCAUCUCCAAAGUAAACUGAGACCCAGAAAGGUUUUUAAACUUGCCCAGGGAGAAACAACUAGGAAAUGUCUUUCUGGUCUUUCCAAAGACUCAUCCUAAUACACUAAGUCUAUCCCUCAUUUUUAAAAGUGAGUCAAAAACAAAUUUUAAUUUGGGUUAAAAGGCACUUCCAAAGGAGUGUCAUCCAUUAUUUAAAAUUGUACUCAUCAGGAACACUAUAGGCCUUGACAUCCAUGGGCAAGUGAGGUGUAAGGCACAGGUUAUUUAGAAUCAGAAAAGGCUAAUUGCAGCUUCACUGGAGACAAAUGGACAGAGACCUGUUCAGUGAUAAGCCCAAAGUCAAGCAGGAAUUUGCAAACAAAUCUUCCCAGCACCACCCAAGCAGUGUAGAAAGUGGCUCUGAGUAAUCUAGAGAUAGUCCCUUUCAGCUUCAAAUUCAGCGAUAGCUCCUGCCAAGACCAACCCCUGCCAGGGAUGGGCAUGGGAUACUCACCACACCAGUUCCACAUGCCCCCAGUUCGUGCAUUCGCACAUGCAAAGUCAGCGCAUUAACACACCUCAACAAACAGCCUUACAGCAAACCGCAGGAAAUUCCAUUUCAGCACAUAUUAUAACAAUGUGCCCCCUACUUGCACUGUCCAUUAAAAACCAAGGCAGGACCUAACCAUACUCUUUGGAAGCACAGAUAAUAUAUCUGGGGACUAAACAUUACUAGAUUCUAUUCAAAUUAAACAGCAACCUCUCUACCCGGAAGCUAAUGAUCACUAUACCUAAAAAUUUAUAAUUAGACAAAUUGUAUGGAAAGAAUCACUUAUGCAAUCAGUGGCAAGUUUCAACUUCUGUUUCCAGCCAGAAUCAAAGAGGUGGGUUGAUCUACCACAGGAUAAUGCAUUCCCUUUGCCCUCCCUGGCACUCACUGUGGAAUACAUUACUCCAUUAUGGAAGCAGCUAUUGUGUGCCUGUUAGGUAAGCAGGAUUUAUAAUUCAGCAACCAAGCUUUGGUAAUUAUCUCUAUACCAGCCAUGGCUCAAACCUCACCACAUAUCAAAGUCCACAAGGUUUCAAUACUACCAAAAAACUAAGAAAGAGAUCAGUCAAGGCUUUGGAAGAUCUACUUUUAACUUAUGGCAAGAACACAGAGCUAUAGUCUCUCAGUAUCUUCGAGAAACGCAUACUAUUAAUGUACAAUAGCCCUCACUGUAUUGUUGAUCUGCUCUAUAGUAAAACCUGAAUGAACUGAAUAAAAUAAAUACAUGCAAUUUUUUUUUAACCCUUUACCCAACAAAGAAUACAAUCAGCAGUAGCCUCAUCCAGAGAUCUUUGGUAAAAAGUAGAAUACUUUGACAUAGAAUAUUGCCAUUAUAUAGGCUUAAUGGUAGACACUUAGGGGAAUAGGGGGGAAAAGACAAGAAGAAAGCAGAGAAGGGCAAAGUUCGGGUACCUCCUAGCCUCUGCUUUCCACAGUCCACAUUAUUGGCAACCACAUCCAUCCACCAAACUGCCAACUACUGUGGAUGGCCCAUAACUAGAACUGCCUUCGUGAGCAUUAGAGCAUUCCAACCCAACCUUACUCAGGCCGUGUUCUCUUCAUUCUCCCUCCACUCCCCUCAUGCUCCACUUUGCAAGUCAGCCAUCUGGAAUCUCACGUCCUUGCAGCCAGACUUUCAGUUAUUAGAAAAUACUAUAAACUAGUUUUAUAAGCUAAUAGGAAAAGAGUAAAGUAGAUGACACCACUCAUCCUCAUGCCUCUUAUAGGUACCUUGGGUCUCCUGGAGGUAAUGGCUACUCUUGUAUUGACCCACCCUAAGAGUGAUCCCAGGGGUGAGCAUUUCAGCCCAGGCUAUAAGAAUAGAUGACACCAUGUUAGGCUUUGCUCUUGGCCACUGGGAUGAAGAUGGCUGAUGUGAGGAGUAGGAAUGGUGAGACCAGCCUUAUCAGUAUGCAUGUUCCUUAACAGUAUGCAGACAGCUGAGCAGAAAUCCAGCCAGUCUUCCCUGGGGAUGUUUCCUUUCUCACUUCUAUGCAGAUUAACCACAACCAACAUUUGAGUCACAAUACCCAACGAAGUAGAUGGCUUGAUGAAAACAACCUUUUAGGAUUCAAGUACCAGAAACACCAGUCUCUCCAGCAACAGCACUUCUCAUAACCAAGAUGUUGUGAGUUGUGCAACCAAUUUCAUAUGGCUGGAAGGUUCUUUUGUUUGGCAGCCAGGUAAAACAAGGGUUGACUCCUUUAAACAAUCUCCCUUCCCCUACAUACUCUUCAUACACAGAAUUCCUUUUGUAGCCACUGAAAAUCCUUUCACAGAACAGAGGGAGAGAACAAUCCGUUUGUUUUUAAAUGAACCUAUGCUCUCCCUCCAACUAUCCAGGCUAGUUCCCUUUUCUUUUUCAGACCUCUUGUCAAAAUUCUCUCAUUCCAGGAAGGCUUUUCCUACAAUGGGUCUCCUCUAAAUCAAAAUGGCUGUGGUCCAAAGGUUGUGCCAAAGAAAAAUUCAGCUAGCUGCCAGCAAUGUCUCCGCAAUGUGAGUGACCUUUCCUUCCUCCGUGUUUUUAUUUCUUAAUUGUCAUGUCUAUCCCAGUGAAGUGACAAACAUCUGAGGUAAGAAUUGCUUUUAUCCUGGUGUUUUUAUAGUGCUUCAGAUGAUGACUCUACUCCAUAAAUUGAAAAUCAUUAUUAUAUACAAAUGCAUAUGCUAAUGCAUGACCUGCAGCUUAAAUGGCAGAAUAAGUAAACAAUUACUGGCAAACACCAUGGUAUGGCAUUUCAAUGAAGUCAUCAGAGAAUCACUAGUAAUUAUCUUUGCAAACUUAAGGUGAGGUGUCCAUGGGCUGAAAGAGAGAGAUGCAUAUUUGUGCCUUAAAAAGAGAAACAGGAAAACUCAAAAAAUUAGAUUCAACGCCUUAACAUUCAGAUCCAAAAAUAAUACUGCAAUCUUAUAAAUAUAUGCAUGCAUGCAUGCACACACACACACAGCCCCCCCGACACACACAGAGUAGCAUGCUAGAUAAAUUCAAGGCAGUUUAAUUAAAAAAAAAACCCUAUCACAUUAGUCAAAUGCAAUUCAUUGGAAACAUGACAAUUCUGGUAAAACCAAGUAAAAGCCAAAGAUAUGAAGUAGUUUUGACUAUUGCACAGUUUUAAGUUUUGUGUUACUUGACAUCAGACAAUUAAAGUAUUAUAUCCUGAAAUCAUCUUCUCAUCAGGUGGAUUCAUAAGUGAUUAGAAGGCUUUUUCAGUAAGUAAUUAUUAAUGGUCCAGUGUCAGCCCAGAGAUGCAUACCUGAUGGGAUUCCUAAGAGGCUGGUCUUAACCUGGUGCUAUUUUUAGUAAUGACUUAGAGGAUGGUAGAGAAUAUGGUUAUUAAGUUCAGGAUAACAUCAAACCGGGUGUGGUACAUUCCGCUUUGGAAAACUAGAUAAAAGUGCAAACGAUCCUGAUGAGUUGGAGACAUGGGUGGACAUAAACAGAUUGAGGUUCUGUAGUAUAAUUCACAUGGGAAGAAUAACAAACCACACAAUUGCAGGACUCAUUUUGUGACAUCAUAAAGAAAAUAAUCUGGAGGUCAGAGUCAACACAAACUAUUAGUCUUUGUGCUUUAACCUUAAAAACAUGAUUGAUUUAGUAAAAGAAAGCCAGGAGUCCUUUCCCUGAUGCCCAGUACUGAUAUAGGCUAUCCUAGAAUAUUCUGUGAUGUCUUUAGCCCCACAUUUUAAAGUAGGAUAUGGAGAAUCCAGGGGCAUUUAAAAGGAAAUCAAAUUUCCUUACAAAUUAGAGAAACAGCCCCUAGACAAAUAACUAAAAUGAUAAAAGUGUUGGCUUAAAAAAAUUUGAGGAAAGGCCUAAACCACUUUCAAGCCUAGAAAGAGGAAGAAAGAUGGAAAGAUAUCAGUUUCAAAGAUAUUAGAAAAAUCUUCCUAGCAAACAAAGCUGUGGAAAAUCAGAGGGUAUUGCAAUGGAAGAUGUCCUUCACUGAAAACUUCAAAGAACAGGCCUUUCCCCGAAUUUGGGGACAGCUUUAUGUACAGACAAAAGACUACACAGGUGAAAAUAGAAAGAAAAGCAAAACCUCUGUAUUUCCUGUUUCUCUGUCACACACCCCCCCCCCUUUUAUUCAAAAGGAAAAUGGCAGGAGGGAAGGAAGGGCAGGAAUUCCACAGUCUUUCUGGACUGUCACUUGUCCAUUUGAGACCAUAUGGUAACUCAAGCCCCAUCUCUCACCCCAGCUUCCCCGAGUUCCAACACUGCAUUGUUCGAAUUCUUGGCUAUGUUGUUUCUUAGCAAGUAUUACUGAGUUUUGAAGAAACUACAAAACCCAUACUCUUUGCUACCUCUGAGUGAGAUGCAGCCUGAUUCCCUAAAAUUACACUUUGCUCAUUUCCUGUCACUGGGUAUUUGUUCAAACCUGGUCUGGAAUGUGUAAUAUGUCCCUUCAUCAGCUUCCUAGGAAACUGCUACCUUUUAAGUCAAUAUCAUCCCACCCUCAUGGAGCUGGUCUAACCUCUCCUUCAACAGUGGUUUCUUCUUCCUAGGAACUCGGAGCCUGCAUGCACUGUCAAUGGCAUUUAUUUGAUACACAGUCACACAGAGCCUUGUGACACCUCAGGUAUUGUUGAAUCACUGUUUAACAUUUACUGUGUGUGUGCAUUACAUUCCUACGUAGACUGUGAGCUCUUUCAAGAUGAGGAUCAUGUGUUAAAAUUUUUGUAUCCUCCUAUAUAUAGCACUCAGUUCGGCAAGUAUUGAGUUCAUAGGAGGGACUGUUAGUAUUUGCUUAAUGAAUGAAGAAAUGUUUAAGGAGAAUGUUUAAAAUAAAUUUGAUCUUUACUUAGAAAAGUUGCUUUCCAAUGUGGAUUCAGGGUAAAAAAGUAACAUUUUAUAAAUUCUUAGUGGGAAAAAUAGAUGUUAAACAUUAUAAAACCCAAUAAAAUAAUGCCUUUAUAUAUAGAAAAUAUUAAAUUAUGGAGUAUUUAAAAUAGUGGAGAUUAUAAAAAUUACACAACUGUUGAUGUUUUUCAUCUGAAUAGAACAAUUCUUAUCAGCACAUGCAAUUAUAAAAGCCAAAAAGAAAUCCUGUGUGUGUGUUUCAUUUGAGAUGAUUUGGUCUAAUAAAGUUUGAACACUUCUCUUUUAUUAUUUUAAGGUUAAUAUUUUAUGUUCAUUCUGCCUGAGCUCACAAAGACUGGUCUUUCUGCCAUGACCGAUAAUAACGUAUCAGAGGUAGUGGCCACAUUUAACGUGUAUUUCCACAUCUUAGAGAUAAAUAUCCUAUGAUAGUUCCUAAUCUGAGUUGCAUUUGAACUCAUGACCUGGAACUGAAGCAUACCAUAUCCAUAGCACCAUUUCAAAAAUUUCACCAUGAAGCAUUGUUUGAGAAUGAGCAGAUACAGCUGUUGUAAGCGCCUUUCAAUUGUUUAUAAUCUCAGUAUUGUAGGUGGUGAGAUGUUCUGAUACCAAAGAAUUGUCAUGACCUGCACUAGUUGGGGAAGCUGCUGGACAUCCAGGAUGAGAGAAACUACAGACCAUGAGGACAAAAUACAACAAGCCAUCAAUCGCCCUCUAAAUACCCUCCUUCUGAGCCUGGUAUCACCUGUUUUUGCUUUUUUUUUUUUUUUUACUGUUUCUCUAUACCAAGGGUGUCUCGUCCUAGCUAUGGAUUGAAGGUGAGAAGAGGAGGAAGCAGAUGACAUAGGUGUCUUUUCCCAGGAAAAAGGUGUAUGGAUGUGACUCCUAGGCUCUUCAUAUGGGACAUUAAUCGCUCUGCUUUUCACCUUAACUUCAAGCACUCUUUCUGAAAUUUCAAUGACUCGAGUGCUCAGGAUUUAGGAAGGCUGGCUGAAAUUAACCCAAUAAGAGAUACAAAAUAGUUAUGAGGUAAGGGGAAAUUUCACUUUGUUAUCUAAUUCAGUCACACAUGAACUCAGAAAUUUCCCCCAAAUUCCUAAGAUAUUUCAUGGGGAAUUGAUACUCUUCAAAAAAUUUGAUCCUAGACAUCCCCUCAAAAUGUUUUAAAGCCAUAAUGCUAGUUAGAGAAUUAUAGGUCCAGAAGUUAUUACCAAAAAUAGUGCAAAAGAAAUAAAAAUCAGUUACAUUUCAAAUAAAACCAUAAUUUGGUAUUUAGUAUCAGAUUUCAACAAACAGUAACACUUAUUAAACGUAAAAACAAUUUCUAUCUCAGAAACGUAUGUUAAAUAAAUAGUAAAGGGGGAUGCUACAAAAGAUUUAAUGGAUUUGCCACCUAAAAACUACGGCAAUUCCAAAGUUAAUUCAAUUGGCAUUUAUUAAAAUAGUACAGACUGAUUGAAAAACAGAGAUAAAUAAGAUGCAAUCAUUGCCUCAGGAAGCGCCAGCCUACCCUAGCUGCACAAAGCACUGAAGAACCAAACUGGUGUAAUGCAAAGUAGUACAUGCUUAUUGCUGGCAAGUGUCCCAGAAUGAGCUUCUAGUACAAUCUAGGGAGAAUCAAGGGAAGCUUCUCUGAAGAGAUAUGUACAAGAGAAAUGUGAAAGGUGAAGAGGAAUUUUCCAGAUAGAAGUGACAGAGGGACAGUGAUGGCAGAGUCUAUCAAGGAACACAAGACAGUUUGUGAGGUAGUGUGAAGCAUCUAUAUUGGAAGGUGGGGCAGGGAAGAAGACUGAGUAAAGAUAAAACUAGAGGAGUUCCUGUUGUGGCUCAGAGGGUUAAGGACCCAACACUGUCUCUGUGAAGAUGCGAGUUCAAUCCCUGGCCUCACUCAGUGGGUUACAGAUCCGGCAUUGCCACAAGCUGUGGCAUAGGUCACAGAUGCAGCUCAGAUCCAGUGUUGCUGUGGCUGUGGUGUAGGCUGCAGCUGCAGCUCCAAUUCAACCCCUUGCCCAGGAACUUCCAUAUGCCACAGGUAUAGCCAUAAAAAGGAAAAAAUAAAUAAAUAAAACUGGAAAGUAGGUGAAGGCAGAGACACUGAAAGAUUUGGAGUGAUCAGUAGAGUAACAAUACAUCCUACAUUGCCCAGGUAAAUCUGGUUUAUACCUGUGGCCCCAACAUAAUGAUUAACAGUGCCCCUUAUACUUUCCAAAGUGUCCCAAAUUGAUAAGUUUUAUGGUCUUUAUAGUGAUUGGAAGCCAUUGGUCCUAGGGAUCCAAAAAUAAAUAAAACCUGACUCCUGCCCUCAAAAAAGUUUAUGAAACUUUUUUCAUAAGAGACAGACAGGGAAGAGCUAACUAUAGCACAAGUCAAAAGAUGAUACACGCUGUAAUAGAAGAAUGAGAAUAUACACCCAGAAGUGAUGACAUUUGAACAAGUGUUGGAGGAUGAGUGGGAAUUGAACAGGAAGGCAAAACCAUUCUAGGCAUGAAUGGUCACAAUGCGUAGGAGAAAGAUGAGCAUGAGGUGCUUGGACAGAUAAGAACCUAAGUGGCUCUGGUUGACAGAUGCAAGGUAAAAAGUUAGCCUUGAAGAUGAAUCAAGAAACUUGUAGCUGAAAAUGUCAAAAGCCCUCAAAGAUUUCCAGAGGACCCACAGGAUCCCAUUUGGCUUUUGAACUGAAAACUAUAGCUUCUCUAGAGUUCCCAUUUUGGCACAGCAGAAACAAAUCCAACUAGUAUCCACGAGGAUGCAGGUUUGAUGCCUGGCCUCGCUCAGUGGGUUAAGAAUCCUAUGUUGCUGUGAGCUGUGACGUAGGCUGGCAGCUGUAGCUCCAAUUCGACUCCUAGCCUGGGAACUUCCGGGUGAGGCACU